RNAcentral lists this ribosomal RNA (253 nucleotides) under uncultured bacterium. RNAcentral describes it as "partial 16S ribosomal RNA". It matches the Rfam family "Bacterial small subunit ribosomal RNA", at positions 524 to 776 of the family's 1533-position model. The record is from RNAcentral.
UACGGAGGAUCCAAGCGUUAUCCGGAAUCAUUGGGUUUAAAGGGUCCGUAGGCGGUUUAAUAAGUCAGUGGUGAAAGCCCAUCGCUCAACGGUGGAACGGCCAUUGAUACUGUUAAACUUGAAUUAUUAGGAAGUAACUAGAAUAUGUAGUGUAGCGGUGAAAUGCUUAGAUAGGACAUAGAACACCAAUUGCGCAGGCAGCUUACUACACAGUAAUUGACACUGAGGCACGAAAGCGUGGGGAUCAAACAGG